Molecule: ribosomal RNA, 262 nt
Filed under: uncultured bacterium
Lineage: Bacteria
Description: partial 16S ribosomal RNA
Rfam family: Bacterial small subunit ribosomal RNA
Source: RNAcentral
UACGGGGGGAGCAAGCGUUGUUCGGAUUUACUGGGCAUAAAGGGUGCGUAGGCGGUUUGUUUAAGGUUACAUUGGUGAAAGUUUUCGGGCCCAACCGGAAAAUGGCCUGUGAAUACGUGGCCGAACUUGAGUGCGUGAGGGGUGGGGGGGAACGGAGCAGUGUAGCGGUGAAAUGCGUAGAUAUUGCUCGGAAGGCCGGAGCCGAAGGGCCCCACUGGUGCGCAACUGACGCUGAGGCACGAAAGCGUGGGGAGCAAACAGG